Molecule: ribosomal RNA, 920 nt
Filed under: Penicillium citrinum
Lineage: Eukaryota; Fungi; Ascomycota; Eurotiomycetes; Eurotiales; Aspergillaceae
Description: eukaryotic LSU rRNA
Rfam family: 5.8S ribosomal RNA (bases 573-726)
Source: RNAcentral
UCGCGUCCUUUGAGCAGUCCCGGGGAGACCCACCCCCAACAACCAGCGUGUGAGGGCAGAAAGCGUUAGAGCGGCGUGCCCCCGAAUGCCCAGCCCAUUGCUUCAAAAGAUUGAUGAUUCACGAAUUCGCAAUUCAGCAUUACUUAUCGCAUUUCGUGCUUCUUCAUGAUGCGAAACCAAGAGAUCCAUUGUGAAAGUUUGACAAUUUUCAUAGUACUCAGACAGCCUUUCUCAUCAGUUCACAAGCGCUUCGCGGGGCCGGACAGGCGUCCCCCGCGACCAGGAGCCCCAGGGGCCCGCCAAAGCAACAGUGUAGAGAGACAAGGGGAGGUGGGCCACGAGGGCCCGCACUCGGUAAUGAUCCUCCGUAGGUGAACCUGCUGAAGGAUCAUUACCGAGUGCGGGCCCUCGUGGCCCAACCUCCCACCCUUGUCUCUCUACACCUGUUGCUUUGGCGGGCCCACUGGGGCUCCCUGGUCGCCGGGGGACGCCUGUCCCCGGGCCCGCGCCCGCCGAAGCGCUUCGUGAACCCUGAUGAAGAAGGGCUGUCUGAGUACUAUGAAAAUUGUCAAAACUUUCAACAAUGGAUCUCUUGGUUCCGGCAUCGAUGAAGAACGCAGCGAAAUGCGAUAAGUAAUGUGAAUUGCAGAAUUCCGUGAAUCAUCGAAUCUUUGAACGCACAUUGCGCCCCCUGGCAUUCCGGGGGGCAUGCCUGUCCGAGCGUCAUUUCUGCCCUCAAGCACGGCUUGUGUGUUGGGUGUGGUCCCCCCGGGGACCUGCCCGAAAGGCAGCGGCGACGUCCGUCUGGUCCUCGAGCGUAUGGGGCUCUGUCACUCGCUCGGGAGGGACCUGCGGGGGUUGGUCACCACCACAUUUUCUAUUAUGGUGACCUCGGAUCAGGUAGGAGUACCGGGGAUCAA